GUGAGGAGGAUGUGUCAAUCUUCUGUGGUGGUUUUACACCUGCAAAGCCCCCAGAUUCAGUUGCUCUCCAGGGUGAGUGUGUGGACUGUCAUUUCUUGCCUUUUUUGCCUCAGGAGCCCAUCAGUAAAAUGGAUGUCACUGUAUCCCAUUUCAAAAUGCUCUGCACUAGCUCUUGUAGGGGUUGUUGGUAGCUGUCAAGAGUUGUUCCAGGCAGCUCUUAUAUCAGAUUAAUUUUAUUUUCAGAUGAUAAAAGGAAACAUCUUUUUAUUUCUCAGGAUACACUUUAAUUUCUUGUUGUUUUAUUCCACCCCCUGCCGUGCCCCAUAUCUGCGCUGUCCCAGUGAACAAUAUCAGCUCUCACAUCAGAGGAUUUAAAUACUUGUACAAGGCAAUGUGAACAGCAGAAGGAAAGCGAGAUGACUUUACUACUGCUGGGAAAAAGCAGGGUCCCUCUGAAGAUAAUGAGUCCCUUUGUUUGCAAGACAGAGAGAGAGCAAGACCCCAAGGAGAAAACAAAGAUCAGCCUCAGCUCCAAGACAACAGACCAA
Long non-coding RNA from Lepidothrix coronata (blue-crowned manakin), 548 nucleotides. RefSeq lists it as uncharacterized. Lineage: Eukaryota; Metazoa; Chordata; Aves; Passeriformes; Pipridae. The record is from RefSeq and is a predicted model, not a curated record. The transcript has 3 exons.